Molecule: non-coding RNA, 85 nt
Filed under: pig gut metagenome
Description: TPP riboswitch (THI element)
Rfam family: TPP riboswitch aptamer (THI element)
About the family: Vitamin B(1) in its active form thiamin pyrophosphate (TPP) is an essential coenzyme that is synthesised by coupling of pyrimidine and thiazole moieties in bacteria.
Source: RNAcentral
UUACACUAGGGGAGCGUACGAGCUGAGAGUCUUAGGACAACCCUUACACCUGAUCCGGAUAAUACCGGCGGAGGGAAGUGUUCUC